This 73-nucleotide transfer RNA is filed under the name Natronomonas sp. Its description in RNAcentral is "tRNA-Gly". It matches the Rfam family "tRNA". Rfam says of the family: Transfer RNA (tRNA) molecules are approximately 80 nucleotides in length. Their secondary structure includes four short double-helical elements and three loops (D, anti-codon, and T loops). Further hydrogen bonds mediate the characteristic L-shaped molecular structure. tRNAs have two regions of fundamental functional importance: the anti-codon, which is responsible for specific mRNA codon recognition, and the 3' end, to which the tRNAs corresponding amino acid is attached (by aminoacyl-tRNA synthetases). tRNAs cope with the degeneracy of the genetic code in two manners: having more than one tRNA (with a specific anti-codon) for a particular amino acid; and 'wobble' base-pairing, i.e. permitting non-standard base-pairing at the 3rd anti-codon position. The record is from RNAcentral. Lineage: Archaea; Methanobacteriati; Methanobacteriota; Halobacteria; Halobacteriales; Natronomonadaceae. RNAcentral also lists the same sequence under 1 other name.
GCGCGGGUGGUCUAGUCUGGCAUGACAAGGGCCUUCCAAGCCCUUAACCCGGAUUCAAAUUCCGGUCCGCGCA